CUUCCGUAGGUGAACCUGCGGAAGGAUCAUUAAAAAAUUGGACUCUACGAGAGUCUAUUAAUAAUCCUCACCCUUUGUGAAUUUGUUUGUUUGAAAUAAUUUUUUUUAAAAAAUUAUUGAAUGUCUUUCCCUAGUUUGUUUUGGCUUUGCUUGAAACAUCUAGGGGAAUGGCAAACAAUAAUAUUUUAAAGACUUUUUUUAAAAUAAAACUUUUGUAUUCAUUUGUCUAAAAUUAUUUUUAUAAUAUAAAAACAACUUUUGACAAUGGAUCUCUUGGUUCUCGCAACGAUGAAGAACGCAGCAAAAUGCGAUAAGUAGUGUGAAUUGCAGAAUACGUGAAUCAUCGAAUCUUCGAACGCAUAUUGCACUUUUUUAGUUUACUAAAAAAGUAUGUCUGUUUGAGUAUCAGUAAAAUAUUCUCAUAAAAAAUUUAUUUUUUAUGGUUAUGAGUGUUUUACAACGAUAACAAGUUGUUUCACUUUAAAUUCUUUGUUAUCAAAAAAAAUCAUUAAACUAAUUUUAAAGAUUUUUUUUAAAAUUGGAUAAAAUUUUCCUGUAAAAAGGAAUAACCUAAACAAUUUUAAAAAAUAUUAAAAUUAGCGAUUUCUUUUGACAUAAAAAGGAAAAGUCAAAUUAACUUGAUCUCAAAUCAGAUAAGAGUACCCGCUGAACUUAAGCAUAUCAAUAAGCGGAGGAAAAGAAACUAACUAGGAUUCCCUUAGUAACGGCGAGUGAAGCGGGAAGAGCUCAAAUUUGAAAUCUUCAAGGUUCUACCUUGACGAAUUGUAGUUUAAAGAAGUGUUUUCUGUUGGAGUUUUGGUAAAAGUUCUUUGGAAUAGGACAUCAUAGAGGGUGAGAAUCCCGUAUUUGACCAUUAUUUCCAGCUGUGUGAUACACUUUCAAAGAGUCGGAUUGUUUGGGAAUGCAGUCCAAAAUGGGUGGUAAAUUUCAUCUAAAGCUAAAUACUGGCGAGAGACCGAUAGCGAACAAGUACCGUGAGGGAAAGAUGAAAAGAACUUUGAAAAGAGAGUUAAACAGUACGUGAAAUUGUCAAAAGGGAAGCGUUUGACACCAGUGUUGUUUUCUCGAAAAUCAAUUAAAAAUGACCGGAUUUUGUGUUGUAUUGACUUUAUCAGCUUUCUGCACUUUUUUCCUGUCUUUUUUAAUGCACUUUUCGUUUAACAAGUCAACAUCAAUUUCUUUUGUUGUAAAAGGGUCAUUGGAAGGUGGCUUUCUUUUCGGAGAAAGUGUUUAUAGCCUUUGACUUCUGCAAUCGGAGAGACUGAGGUCUGCAGCGUAGACUCUUCGGGGUUAAAUACAUCUGUGCUAAGCUAUAGCCUUUCAUAGACAACUUGUUGACUAUAUCAGUCAUGUGGCUUACUCGCUUAUGCUAUUUUACCUACGCUUAGGAUGUUG
Molecule: unclassified non-coding RNA, 1416 nt
Filed under: uncultured Neocallimastigales
Lineage: Eukaryota; Fungi; Neocallimastigomycota; Neocallimastigomycetes; Neocallimastigales
Description: partial contains small subunit ribosomal RNA, internal transcribed spacer 1, 5.8S ribosomal RNA, internal transcribed spacer 2, and large subunit ribosomal RNA
Rfam family: Eukaryotic large subunit ribosomal RNA (bases 640-1416)
Source: RNAcentral